RNA transcript from Eriocheir sinensis (Chinese mitten crab), 2697 nucleotides. It is a transcript of the gene named zinc finger protein 239-like, with no coding region annotated. The record is from RefSeq and is a predicted model, not a curated record. The transcript is spliced from 3 exons. Lineage: Eukaryota; Metazoa; Arthropoda; Malacostraca; Decapoda; Varunidae.
GACUCCCGACCGACAACUCAACUUAUCAGUGUCAGCACCAGCAGGGAGCAACACCUACCACUGACGGCCCCACAGCCUAACUAGCCCCAUAAAACACCCACGAAGAAGAAGACAAUGACGCUGUGUUACUAGUACUUACUACUUAUUAGCAACAGGAGCAGUGACGCCAUGCUGGUGCUGGUGCAGAAGUGAUGGUCUGAGGCAGUGCUGUGCUCAGCGCUCCCUGUGUCCUCACCGCCGCUGACUUCUGUUGCAGUGGAGGCUGCAAGGCUAGACAGCAGCCUGAGUGGCCGGGACCAGCAGGAGCAGACUGUCUGUGGUGUGAGGAUCAGUGGUGAUCAGGAGAGCCACCACCACCACCUUGCUGCUGGCAUCUCCAGCUUAUAUAGGAAAGUGAAAGUUUGUGUUCAAGAAGACUUUAGACUGAGAACAGGUCCACUAGACACAGCCCUGCACACACUGGUGAAGGAAACCAUGAGUGCCAAGAGUGUGGGAAAAGACUCCCUAGGAAGGGUGACCUCACCAAGUACACCCACACACUCUGGAGGAAGACCUCAUGAAUGCCAUGAGUGUGGCAAAAAGUUCAGGCUUAAGGGUGACCUCAACAGACACACCCUUACACACACUGGUGAAAGAUCUCAUGAAUGCCGUGAGUGUGGCAAAAAGUUCAGUCUCAAGGCUAACCUCAUCUCACACAUACUUACACACACUGAUGAAAGACCUCAUGAAUGCCAUGAGUGUGGCAAAAAGUUCAGCAGGAAGAGUCACCUCAACAGACACACCCUUGCACACACUGGUGAAACACCUCAUGAAUGCCGUGAGUGUGGCAAAAAGUUCCGCAGGAAGAGUACCCUCAACAUACACACCCUUACACACACUGGUGAAAGACCUCAUGAAUGCAAAGAGUGUGGCAAAAAGUUCACUCAGAAGAGUGUCCUCAAGGCACACACCCUUACACACACUGGUGAAAGACCUCAUGAAUGCCAUGAGUGUGGCAAAAAGUUCAAUCAGAAGAUUAUCCUCAACAAACACACCCUUACACACACUGGUGAAAGACCUCAUGAAUGCCGUGAGUGUGGCAAAAAGUUUAGUAAUAAGAGUUACCUCAACACACACACACUCACACACACUGGUGAAAGACCUCAUGAAUGCCAAGAGUGUGGCAAAAAGUUUAGUAAUAAGAGUAACCUCAAGAAACACACCCUCACACACACUAGUGAAAGACCUCAUGAAUGCAAAGAGUGUGGCAAAAAGUUUAGUAUCAAGAGUAACCUCAAGAAACACACACUCACACACACUAGUGAAAGACUUCAUGAAUGCAAAGAGUGUGGCAAAAAGUUUAGUAAUAAGAGUAACCUCAACACACACACCCUCACGCACACUGGUGAAAGACCUCAUGAAUGCCAAGAGUGUGGCAAGAGGUUCGGUUCUAUGUCUUAUCUCAAUGUGCACAUCUUCAGACACUCUGGCUUGAGAGAGUUCAAGUGUGAUGUUUGUGGGAAGCACUUCAAGGUGAAGGCAGAUAUUGCCAACCACAUGAAGAUCCACUUCCCCUGAGGUUCUGUGUGUGAUGGUGGAGGGCGGCGGGUCGCAGCCACGUCCUGGUUCUGCUGACGGGUCAUCUUCCUCGAUGCAUCAGCAUGAGCCUCGCCGGUGCUGGUGCAGAAGUGAGGGUCUGAGGCGGUGCUGUGCUCAGCGCUCCCUGCGUCCUUCCUGCCGCUGACUUCUGUUGCAGUGGAGGCUGCAAGCCCGGGCAGCAGCCUGAGCGGCCGGGACCAGCAGGAGCAGACUGUCUCUGGUGUGAGGGUCAGGGGUGAUCAGGAGAGCCACCACCACCACCACCACCUUGCUGCUGGCAUCUCCAGCCAUAAAGGAAAGGGAAAGUUUGAGUUCAAGAAGACUUGAGACUGAGAACAGGUCCACUAGACACAGCCUUGCACACACUGGUGAAGGAAACCAUGAGUGCCAAGAGUGUGGGAAAAAAUUCCCUGGGAAGGGUGACCUCACCAAGUACACCCACACACUCUGGAGGAAGACCUCAUGAAUGCCAGGAGUGUGGCAAAAAGUUCAGGCUUAAGGGUGACCUCAACAGACACACCCUUACACACACUGGUGAAGGAAACCAUGAGUGCCAAGAGUGUGGGAAAAAAUUCCCUGGGAAGGGUGACUUCACCAAGUACACCCACACACUCUGGAGGAAGACCUCAUGAACGCCAUGAGUGUGGCAAAAAGUUCAGUCACCUCAACAUACACACCCUAACACACACUGGUAAAGGACCUCAUGAAUGCCAAGAGAGUGCCAAAAAGUUCAAUUAUAAGAGUGCCCUCAACAGACACACCCUUACACACACUGGUGAAAGACCUCAUGAAUGCCAAGAGUGUGGCAGGAGGUUCAUUUCUAUGUCUGUGUUGAACAAGCACAUCUUCAGACACUCUGGCCUGAGAGAGUUCAAGUGUGAUGUUUGUAAGAAACAUUUCAAGACCAAGCAGGAUAUUGCCAAACACAUGAAGAUCCACUUCCCCUGAGGUGCUGUGUUGUGCUGCUCGAUGUGUGUGUGUGUGUGUGUGUGUGUGUGUGUGUGUGUGUGUGUGUGUGUGUGUCCAGCAUCUAUUAUUAUUAUUAUUAUUAUUAUUAUUAUUAUUAUUAUUAUUAUUAUUAUUAUUAUUAUUAUUAUUAUUAUUAUUAUUAUUAUUAUU